Homo sapiens (human) is the source of this 622-nucleotide long non-coding RNA. Ensembl annotates it as long intergenic non-protein coding RNA 1586. NCBI's taxonomy places the organism in Eukaryota, Metazoa, Chordata, Mammalia, Primates, Hominidae. The record is from Ensembl.
CACAUUUGGCGGGUGCCAAGCCUGGCCGCUCGCUUCUCCGGCCCUCCAGAGCAGCCUCAGGCUUAGCUUCCCGAAUAUCAGCUCCAGUUGGCUGCUUCUCCAGUCCCGAGCCCUUGACCUGGAGGAGGGGACGGGACCGGGGACCUCGGCUGGGAUUUUUACCUGGCAUGGGUCGCCGCGGCUAGGGAGGAAGACCACUUGCUCUCCGUUUCUUUCUGGAAGAAAGCCCCUCACCACCCAGCUGCCGGCCCAACCCUGGACGGACACACAAAUAUCUGUGCUGCCCACAUCCAGCCAACACAGGCAGCAGGAUAUUUCCUCCUAGUCAGACUGGGUGUUCUAAACCAUGUAGAUAAAGGCCACUUGCCCAGGAAGGGGGAGCAAGAAGGUCCUGGUUUCACCGUGAACAUAAAUCACUGUUUUGGCAGUCUACCAUACUAUCCAUCAGACUAGCCUUUCAGAGGAAAAUGCCAGAGGCAGCAACUGAAAACAGCUUGUAGGAGUCAUCAGUUAGUCACUGAAGCAAAUCAUUUGAGAGAAGAUAAAGACGAGCUCUUGACAUUCCUGGGACAAGAAGACCUGCCCUGUGAGGCUCGCCUGUGAGCGGCUCAGCUUCUCCUAC